AUGUGACAGUUCCCAAUGAAGACCUUGAUGUUUGUGGUCCUGUUGUUAAUAUAUCUACAUGGCGCUGCGGGAGUGAUUCACUCUCUGAAGUAUUUCUACACUGCGUCUUCUGGAGUCCCAAACUUCCCAGAGUUUGUGUCUGUUGGGUUGGUUGAUGAAGUUCAGAUUUAUCACUAUGACAGUAACACCAGGAGAGCAGAACCCAAACAGGACUGGAUGAUCAGAGUCACAGCAGAGGAUCCUCAGUACUUGGAGAGGGAGACUGAAGCCUGUAAGCGUCACCAACAGCGCCACAAAGUCAGCAUUGAAGCUUUAAAGCAGCGCUUCAACCAAACUGGAGGUGUCCACGUUCUCCAGUGGAUGUACGGCUGUGAGUGGGAUGAUCAGACUAAUAAGGUUAAUGGUUAUGAUCAGUAUGGUUAUGAUGGAGAAGACUUCAUAAAAUUAGACCUGAAGACAGAGACAUGGAUCGCUAUAAAACAACAGGCUUUCACCACCAAACAUAGAUGGGAUCGUGACAAAGCUUGGCUGGAUACGACAAAACACUACCUCACCCAGGAGUGCAUUACGUGGCUGAAGAAGUAUUUGGACUAUGGGAGGAGCUCUCUGCUGAGAACAGACCUUCCCUCAGUGUCUCUCCUCCAGAAGACUCCCUCCUCUCCAGUCAGCUGCCACGCUACAGGUUUCUACCCUGACAGUGCCACACUCAUCUGGAGGAAAGAUGGAGAGGAGCUUCAUGAGGACGUGGACCACGGAGAGAUCCUCCCCAACCACGAUGGAUCCUUCCAGAUGAGUGUUGACCUGAACCUUUCAUCAGUCACACCUGAAGACUGGAGGAAGUACGACUGUGUGUUUCAGCUCUCUGGUGUGAAGAACGACAUCGUCACCAAACUGGACAAAGCAUGGUUCUGGACCGAUAAAGAGAAACCUGAUAACACGACUGUCAUCAUCAUUGCUGCAGUGGUUGUUCUCGCUCUCGUCCUCAUCGCUGUGGUUGGAGUCGUCAUCUAUAAAAAGAAAAAUGCCACACGCCCUCCAUCUCCUAUAAGCAACCCUGAGGUCAUGGAGCUGAACCCAAACGCCUAAACAACAAAAACACCACCCUGAACACAGUUUAUGGACACAUUUUGCACUCGAACGAGGAGCGGUUCCUCCACAUUCUCCUCCGUAAACUGGGAAUUCAUUGGUUGUUCAUCAUCAUACAAUAAACUGAUCAGGGUUGGAAAUCUAGUAGUAGAUGCUUAUUAAUUGGAAUACAAAGAACACAAAUUUGAUAAAUGAGUUUACAAACAUUUGACAAACAUUACCAAACAUAAAUGGUGACAUUAAAUGAUCAAAUGUUAGUAAGUCAAAUGAGGUUCAUUCAUAUUUUGUUAAAAGUAAAACACAAUAUUUAAAAAAAAAUGAAAGCAUCACAGCACUUUCUAUACGUAGAUUUGUGUGUUCAUCUUAAACAAAUCCACCGUAGUUACAGUUUUAUACUUCUGGUGUUGGUGUUUUCUGGUAAAAUCAAUAUCGAUAAUAGAAAUGUAAAUACACACACACACACACACACAAACACACAGGCACACACACAUCCAUGUACAUGCAUUCCCAUUUUCAAAUAUAUACUGAUUCUGGUGAUUUGAUACCUUGAGAUAACAGAGAUUUUUUAAACCAGUAGAGAGUUUAUAUAUUAAGAAAAUAAUUAUUUUGUUCUCUGGCUGUAACAGAUCAUUGAAAGCAAAACUGCAAAUCAAUCAGCAACAUCCAAAAUUAUGCUUCCUAUAUCAGACACUCUGUAUUGCCUGUAGGUGUUAAUGUAAGAAUAAAAUGGUGAUAAACUUUACUUCACCUCUCUCCCACUGUGCACUGGCUCGACUCCAGUCCUCUGUGACUCUCAGCUGGAUCAGUGGGACAGGAAAUAGAUGGAGGGAGUUUUGUUUCACUGGUUUGAAUUAUCUGGAUUUGUAAAUAAUUCAUUGGACACAUAUUUCCAUCUGGUUACUGCUACAUGGUUUAAUUUACAGAAACUGUUCAACAUCUUGAAAUACAUGCAAAUACUGCAUAAACACUGAUAGGUUGUAUCAUUGUUGCCCAUCCCCAUACACACACACACACACACACACACACACACACACACACACACACACACAAACAAUAUAAGAAUCAGGACAGAACUUAGUUUCCAGUUGUGUAAAUAGUUAUAUUUCUUUAAAAGUGAUCAAAUUUAAAGAUUUUGUUUUGAUUCCAAUCAGGCCAAAGUAUAUAAUUUAUGUUUUUGAGAUUUUUCUGAAUUAAACAAGAGUGUGUUAUUGUUAUUGUUUUUGUUUUCAUAAUAUCUGUUUUAAUUAGUUUGGAAACUACUAUAUUUAAAUUUUAGCUGAAAGGGUUGUGGGAUGUUUUAAGCUUCUCAGCACUGAUAGAAAUCUUUUUGAAAAUACUUGCUAAUAUUUAGGGACAAGGGACAUUUUCUAUUAUAGAAAAUACUCAAAAUUACUUUUUGUGUUGAAUUGAGUGGAUUAAUCUCAGAUUAAAUUGUUCAACUGUUUUGUUACCUUUGUACUUUUGAUUUCAAUAAAGUCCUAUAAAGUGCC
This is an RNA transcript of Dicentrarchus labrax (European seabass), 2576 nucleotides long. It is a transcript of the gene named H-2 class I histocompatibility antigen, Q9 alpha chain-like, with no coding region annotated. NCBI's taxonomy places the organism in Eukaryota, Metazoa, Chordata, Actinopteri, Moronidae. The record is from RefSeq and is a predicted model, not a curated record. The transcript has 8 exons.